This 117-nucleotide ribosomal RNA is filed under the name Oreochromis niloticus (Nile tilapia). The record is from RNAcentral. Lineage: Eukaryota; Metazoa; Chordata; Actinopteri; Cichliformes; Cichlidae.
GCUUACGGCCAUACCACCCUGAACACGCCCGAUCUCGUCUGAUCUCGGAAGCUAAGCAGGGUCGGGCCUGGUCAGUACUUGGAUGGGAGACCGCCUGGAAUACCAGGUGCGUAAGCU